RNAcentral lists this transfer RNA (70 nucleotides) under Loxodonta africana (African savanna elephant). It matches the Rfam family "tRNA". From Rfam's summary of the family: Transfer RNA (tRNA) molecules are approximately 80 nucleotides in length. Their secondary structure includes four short double-helical elements and three loops (D, anti-codon, and T loops). The record is from Rfam by way of RNAcentral. Lineage: Eukaryota; Metazoa; Chordata; Mammalia; Proboscidea; Elephantidae.
GCAGUGGUAGUUCAGUGGUAGAAUUCUCGCCUUUCGUGUGGGACACCCAGUUUGAUUCCUGGCCAGUGCA